Pan troglodytes (chimpanzee) is the source of this 469-nucleotide long non-coding RNA. RefSeq lists it as uncharacterized. The transcript has 3 exons. NCBI's taxonomy places the organism in Eukaryota, Metazoa, Chordata, Mammalia, Primates, Hominidae. The record is from RefSeq and is a predicted model, not a curated record.
CAGAGGAGAAAACGUCGGCACAGUGGUUAAGUAAUUUGACCAAUGCUCGCAGAUCACAAGCGAGGAAGCCUAGCCUGGGACCCACACAGCUGGUUCCUGAGCCUACACAAUUCACCACUACACAAGACUGAGGAAGUUGAGGCACAGAGAGAGGCAGGAACUUGCCCCAGGCCCCACGACUGUGAGCUCACCUGGGUUGAGGGCCGUGAUUCAAUGUCUCUGGACCCCCAGGAACCAGCACAGAGGAGGCACAGAGGAAGGACCAGCAGGGCCUGGCUCACAGCACCUUCUGGAAAGCCAUUACAGCAGCUACAGCAGCACGCGCAGCGUUAAUUUAUGAAAAUCUCAGCUUGUAAAAGCCCAGCUCGCAGGCAGAGCCGGAGGAGGCAGAGGCACUCUGCACUGGAGAUGCGUGAACUGCUAUUUGCUUCUCUUACAGCCACAAAAGGAAAUGCUGGCGAGGGCUUCA